AAGCCGGCCAAUGAAUCUGCUUAGCUGAAUGUGUUUCUGCAGAAAUGUAAAACAUGCUGGCAAUAGUAAUGUCAUGUUACGAGCCUUAAAGACAUUGUGAGGUCCCUGAAAAUGGCUACAAGA
This is a small nucleolar RNA of Suricata suricatta (meerkat), 123 nucleotides long. Lineage: Eukaryota; Metazoa; Chordata; Mammalia; Carnivora; Herpestidae. The record is from Ensembl.